This 395-nucleotide ribosomal RNA is filed under the name uncultured bacterium. Its description in RNAcentral is "bacterial SSU rRNA". It matches the Rfam family "Bacterial small subunit ribosomal RNA", at positions 505 to 898 of the family's 1533-position model. The record is from RNAcentral.
GUGUCAGCAGCCGCGGUAAUACGUAGGUGGCGAGCGUUGUCCGGAAUUAUUGGGCGUAAAGGGCGCGUAGGCGGCAGCCUAAGUCAGAUGUGAAACCCCGGGGCUUAACUUCGGGCAUGCAUUUGAAACUGGGCAGCUAGAGUGCAGGAGAGGUAAGUGGAAUUCCUAGUGUAGCGGUGAAAUGCGUAGAUAUUAGGAGGAACACCAGUGGCGAAGGCGACUUACUGGACUGUAACUGACGCUGAGGCGCGAAAGCGUGGGGAGCAAACAGGAUUAGAUACCCUGGUAGUCCACGCUGUAAACGAUGGAUACUAGGUGUGGGAGGUAUCGACCCCUUCCGUGCCGCAGUAAACGCAAUAAGUAUCCCGCCUGGGGAGUACGGCCGCAAGGUUGAA